AGCCCCUUAACCUAGCGGCAGGGUACCUGGUUUUGACCCAGGGUGCGGGAGUUCGAAUCUCUCAGGGGCCGCCA
This 74-nucleotide transfer RNA is filed under the name Pseudomonas amygdali pv. lachrymans str. M301315. RNAcentral describes it as "tRNA-Gln". It matches the Rfam family "tRNA". From Rfam's summary of the family: Transfer RNA (tRNA) molecules are approximately 80 nucleotides in length. Their secondary structure includes four short double-helical elements and three loops (D, anti-codon, and T loops). The record is from RNAcentral. Lineage: Bacteria; Pseudomonadati; Pseudomonadota; Gammaproteobacteria; Pseudomonadales; Pseudomonadaceae.